GUCGAGAAUCUUUCACAAUGGGGGCAACCCUGAUGGAGCGACGCCGCGUGGAGGAUAAGGUCUUCGGAUUGUAAACUCCUGUCAUGCGUGAACAAGGUUGCUUGGUUAAUACCUGGGCAAAUUGAUGGUAACGCAAGAGGAAGAGACGGCUAACUCUGUGCCAGCAGCCGCGGUAAUACAGAGGUCUCAAGCGUUGUUCGGAAUCACUGGGCGUAAAGGGUGCGUAGGUGGCGUGGUAAGUCAGAUGUGAAAGCCCGGGGCUCAACCUCGGAACUGCAUCCGAUACUGCCAUGCUAGAGUACUGGAGAGGUGACUAGACUUCUCGGUGUAGCAGUGAAAUGCGUAGAUAUCGAGAGGAAUACCAAAGGCGUAGGCAGGUCACUGGACAGUUACUGACACUGAGGCACGAAGGCCAGGGGAGCGAACGGGAUUAGAAACCCUGGUAGUCC
This 449-nucleotide ribosomal RNA is filed under the name uncultured bacterium. RNAcentral's name for it is "partial 16S ribosomal RNA". It matches the Rfam family "Bacterial small subunit ribosomal RNA", at positions 354 to 796 of the family's 1533-position model. The record is from RNAcentral.